This 76-nucleotide transfer RNA is filed under the name Ramlibacter sp. RNAcentral describes it as "tRNA-Asp". It matches the Rfam family "tRNA". From Rfam's summary of the family: Transfer RNA (tRNA) molecules are approximately 80 nucleotides in length. Their secondary structure includes four short double-helical elements and three loops (D, anti-codon, and T loops). The record is from RNAcentral. Lineage: Bacteria; Pseudomonadati; Pseudomonadota; Betaproteobacteria; Burkholderiales; Comamonadaceae.
GCUCCGUUAACUCAGUGGCCAGAGUGCCGGCCUGUCUAGCCGGAGGCCGCGGGUUCGACUCCCGCACGGGGCGCCA